RNAcentral lists this ribosomal RNA (253 nucleotides) under uncultured bacterium. RNAcentral's name for it is "partial 16S ribosomal RNA". It matches the Rfam family "Bacterial small subunit ribosomal RNA", at positions 524 to 776 of the family's 1533-position model. The record is from RNAcentral.
UACGAAGGGAGCUAGCGUUGUUCGGAAUCACUGGGCGUAAAGUGCACGUAGGCGGAUGUGUCAGUCAGGGGUGAAAUCCCGGAGCUCAACUUCGGAACUGCCUUUGAUACAGCACGUCUUGAGUCCGAUAGAGGUGGGUGGAAUUCCUAGUGUAGAGGUGAAAUUCGUAGAUAUUAGGAAGAACACCGGUGGCGAAGGCGGCCCACUGGAUCGGUACUGACGCUGAGGUGCGAAAGCGUGGGGAGCAAACAGG